UCUGAUUCGUCUUGGCAAAACAUGAAAAAACGAGCUUCUGCUGAUGUUUUGGGCUUUAUUAAUGGGCUUUUAUAAUGCUUUGGGCUUCUUUAGGAGGAAAUGGCCGGAACAGUUAAACACCAAAAUAUUAAAUUUGGGUCAAAAAGCUUCAGGUGAAAGUUGAGCGGUGUUUGGGUGUAAAUAGAUGUUUAUUUGAUAAAUUUAAACUUCUUCAUAGAUAUCUAGUGUAAUUCUCCACAAUAAACAUGAAAAUUCAUCUUAACAAGUCCACAUAAAAGUCUACAAAACUUUUACCAAUCCUACACCAGAAACUUUGACUGCGUCCGCAACAACUUC
Long non-coding RNA from Brassica rapa (field mustard), 336 nucleotides. RefSeq lists it as uncharacterized. NCBI's taxonomy places the organism in Eukaryota, Viridiplantae, Streptophyta, Magnoliopsida, Brassicales, Brassicaceae. The record is from RefSeq and is a predicted model, not a curated record.